AAAUAUGCUCAAUCAUAUCAAUGUACAUUAGAUGCAGAACAAAUUUAUGAAUUAUUUUUCGCUUUCCAGCAAACUUGAAAGUGACCUCUAAUUGUUGUGCAUGAACGACUUCAUCUGUUCACCUACAUCUUCAAAUGAAAGUGAAGGUGAAAGAGAGGGUUUUCUUCGGGACUGAUAUCCAAAAAUCAUUGUUAUCGGUUUGAAAAAGUCAGUUGGUUUGAAAAAGUCAGUUUUUUCAAACAUUGUAUCGAUAUCCUUCCAACGUUUCAAAGAGAUAUUAUACCUUGUCUCCAUGGAAAUAUUUUCAAAUUGAUCAUUCUCAACUAAUUUCCGGUAGUACUUUCUGGAUGCAACAUUUAUACAUGCAUCCAAAUAUUGUGGUAGAUUGUACAGUUCGGCUUCUAUGAUAUUUUCGAUUAUCUGCUGAGAAGAUAAAUGAUCAGAUUCUGUUUCACAUUUUUCCUUCAAAAAUAAAUCUGCUUUCUCAAGUGUUCUUUUAGUCUGAUAUUCAUGCGCAAGAGGAAGUACCUUAUGAACAGUCACAUCUGCAAAA
This 553-nucleotide long non-coding RNA is filed under the name Mytilus galloprovincialis (Mediterranean mussel). The record is from RNAcentral. Lineage: Eukaryota; Metazoa; Mollusca; Bivalvia; Mytilida; Mytilidae.